RNAcentral lists this ribosomal RNA (1369 nucleotides) under Klebsiella quasipneumoniae. RNAcentral's name for it is "bacterial SSU rRNA". It matches the Rfam family "Bacterial small subunit ribosomal RNA", at positions 192 to 1533 of the family's 1533-position model. RNAcentral also lists the same sequence under 1 other name. The record is from RNAcentral. Lineage: Bacteria; Pseudomonadati; Pseudomonadota; Gammaproteobacteria; Enterobacterales; Enterobacteriaceae.
GUCGCAAGACCAAAGUGGGGGACCUUCGGGCCUCAUGCCAUCAGAUGUGCCCAGAUGGGAUUAGCUAGUAGGUGGGGUAACGGCUCACCUAGGCGACGAUCCCUAGCUGGUCUGAGAGGAUGACCAGCCACACUGGAACUGAGACACGGUCCAGACUCCUACGGGAGGCAGCAGUGGGGAAUAUUGCACAAUGGGCGCAAGCCUGAUGCAGCCAUGCCGCGUGUAUGAAGAAGGCCUUCGGGUUGUAAAGUACUUUCAGCGGGGAGGAAGGCGAUAAGGUUAAUAACCUUGUCGAUUGACGUUACCCGCAGAAGAAGCACCGGCUAACUCCGUGCCAGCAGCCGCGGUAAUACGGAGGGUGCAAGCGUUAAUCGGAAUUACUGGGCGUAAAGCGCACGCAGGCGGUCUGUCAAGUCGGAUGUGAAAUCCCCGGGCUCAACCUGGGAACUGCAUUCGAAACUGGCAGGCUAGAGUCUUGUAGAGGGGGGUAGAAUUCCAGGUGUAGCGGUGAAAUGCGUAGAGAUCUGGAGGAAUACCGGUGGCGAAGGCGGCCCCCUGGACAAAGACUGACGCUCAGGUGCGAAAGCGUGGGGAGCAAACAGGAUUAGAUACCCUGGUAGUCCACGCCGUAAACGAUGUCGAUUUGGAGGUUGUGCCCUUGAGGCGUGGCUUCCGGAGCUAACGCGUUAAAUCGACCGCCUGGGGAGUACGGCCGCAAGGUUAAAACUCAAAUGAAUUGACGGGGGCCCGCACAAGCGGUGGAGCAUGUGGUUUAAUUCGAUGCAACGCGAAGAACCUUACCUGGUCUUGACAUCCACAGAACUUAGCAGAGAUGCUUUGGUGCCUUCGGGAACUGUGAGACAGGUGCUGCAUGGCUGUCGUCAGCUCGUGUUGUGAAAUGUUGGGUUAAGUCCCGCAACGAGCGCAACCCUUAUCCUUUGUUGCCAGCGGUUCGGCCGGGAACUCAAAGGAGACUGCCAGUGAUAAACUGGAGGAAGGUGGGGAUGACGUCAAGUCAUCAUGGCCCUUACGACCAGGGCUACACACGUGCUACAAUGGCAUAUACAAAGAGAAGCGACCUCGCGAGAGCAAGCGGACCUCAUAAAGUAUGUCGUAGUCCGGAUUGGAGUCUGCAACUCGACUCCAUGAAGUCGGAAUCGCUAGUAAUCGUAGAUCAGAAUGCUACGGUGAAUACGUUCCCGGGCCUUGUACACACCGCCCGUCACACCAUGGGAGUGGGUUGCAAAAGAAGUAGGUAGCUUAACCUUCGGGAGGGCGCUUACCACUUUGUGAUUCAUGACUGGGGUGAAGUCGUAACAAGGUAACCGUAGGGGAACCUGCGGUUGGAUCACCUCCUUACCUUAAAGAA